RNAcentral lists this ribosomal RNA (253 nucleotides) under uncultured bacterium. Its description in RNAcentral is "partial 16S ribosomal RNA". It matches the Rfam family "Bacterial small subunit ribosomal RNA", at positions 524 to 776 of the family's 1533-position model. The record is from RNAcentral.
UACGAAGGGGGCUAGCGUUGCUCGGAAUUACUGGGCGUAAAGCGCACGUAGGCGGCUUUGUAAGUUAGAGGUGAAAGCCCGGGGCUCAACUCCGGAACUGCCUUUAAAACUGCAUCGCUUGAAUCCAGGAGAGGUGAGUGGAAUUCCGAGUGUAGAGGUGAAAUUCGUAGAUAUUCGGAAGAACACCAGUGGCGAAGGCGGCUCACUGGACUGGUAUUGACGCUGAGGUGCGAAAGCGUGGGGAGCAAACAGG